Molecule: ribosomal RNA, 630 nt
Filed under: uncultured bacterium
Lineage: Bacteria
Description: bacterial SSU rRNA
Rfam family: Bacterial small subunit ribosomal RNA
Source: RNAcentral
CUUCCUACGGGAGGCAGCAGUGAGGAAUAUUGGUCAAUGGGCGCAAGCCUGAACCAGCCAUCCCGCGUGAAGGAUGACGGCCCUAUGGGUUGUAAACUUCUUUUAUACAGGAAGAAAAAUCUCUACGUGUAGAGACUUGCCGGUACUGUAUGAAUAAGCAUCGGCUAACUCCGUGCCAGCAGCCGCGGUAAUACGGAGGAUGCAAGCGUUAUCCGGAUUCAUUGGGUUUAAAGGGUGCGUAGACGGCUCUUUAAGUCAGUGGUGAAAUCCUGUCGCUCAACGAUAGAAUUGCCAUUGAUACUGAAGAGCUUGAGUUCAGUUGAGGUAAGCGGAAUGUGUAGUGUAGCGGUGAAAUGCUUAGAUAUUACACAGAACACCGAUUGCGAAGGCAGCUUACUAAACUGACACUGACGCUGAUGCACGAAAGCGUGGGGAUCGAACAGGAUUAGAUACCCUGGUAGUCCACGCCGUAAACGAUGAUCACUCGCUGUAUGCGAUACACAGUAUGCGGCCAAGCGAAAGCAUUAAGUGAUCCACCUGGGGAGUACGAUCGCAAGGUUGAAACUCAAAGGAAUUGACGGGGGCCCGCACAAGCGGAGGAACAUGUGGUUUAAUUCGAUGAUACGCGAG